AUGGACGUUGCACUGAACGAUCAGCUUCCACGACGAAUCCACGUCGCAGUUCAUAACGGCCGCGCCUCUUGCCACGUCGUCGGCAUGGUUUCUACGUCGGGGACGGUUGCCGUCGUCGUCGUCAUCCUGUCCGUGCUGGUGGCGCCGGCGAGCUGCCGCCGGGCACUAGUGGCUGCCAACAACGGGUCCGGCAGGGAGACCGAGGCCGCAGACCAGUGCGUGCACGGCUGCCUCGGGGAGAUGCUGGCGUGCCAGCAGGCGUCGGCCGGCUGCGCCACCGUGACGGCGGCCACGUCAUCGCCGCUGCAGACGACGAGCCAGCGGCAGCGGAGCGUUCCGUGCGGCUACGGCGGCUGCGAGGACGAGUACCUUGGCUGCAUCGACGUCUGCUAG
Molecule: ribosomal RNA, 393 nt
Filed under: Triticum aestivum (bread wheat)
Lineage: Eukaryota; Viridiplantae; Streptophyta; Magnoliopsida; Poales; Poaceae
Description: partial small subunit ribosomal RNA
Source: RNAcentral